Molecule: non-coding RNA, 511 nt
Organism: Callithrix jacchus (white-tufted-ear marmoset)
Lineage: Eukaryota; Metazoa; Chordata; Mammalia; Primates; Cebidae
Source: RefSeq, a predicted model, not a curated record
UUCUCACUCAUUGUUCUGGAAAAAUUGCAAAUUGUAUGCAAAGGAGGCCUGAAGUUCCUUUUACCUUCACAAAAAAAACAACUUUCCAACGGCGAAAACUUCAGGCUGGGUUGCUGAAGUUGCGCCCUGGAUCGAUCACAGCUGAUUAAAGCCAGCGACAGCCCAAGACAAGUGGACUAGCAGACCAGAUCCAGAGCACCCCACCAGGCUGACUUUGAGGCACAAUGUCAACAAAAACCAGGACCAAGACCAACCCAGUUCCGUUUCAAAUGUGACGAAUCUGAGGACUCAUCAAGCCCUGCUCUAGUCACACAACUGGAAGCUGACUAGUCAACACAUGGCCGAAGCUUGAGGAGUCUUUAUUGGAUAAGCUGGCGGCCAUUACAGGCAGUGAGGCCACCAUCAGCUGGAGCUCCAAUAAAGAUCAUGCCUGUAAUCCAAGCACUUUGGAGGCCAAGGCGGGCGGAUCACCUGAAGUUGGGAGUUCAAGACCAGCCUGACCAACAUGGUG